Molecule: RNA transcript, 1075 nt
Organism: Musa acuminata AAA Group (dessert banana)
Lineage: Eukaryota; Viridiplantae; Streptophyta; Magnoliopsida; Zingiberales; Musaceae
Gene name: serine/arginine-rich splicing factor RS41-like
Exons: 6
Source: RefSeq, a predicted model, not a curated record
UCCCAUGCUUCUCAUUUUUGUUAUAACAUCUGUUUUCACUCUGUGAUUUCGUUGCCUUUUGAUCUCCGGCUUUCUCUUUGACGUUGACGAACUACUGCCCUCUCGAUCGGAGUCGCUAUAUAUUUGCAUUUUUGUGUUCGGAACCCUAGAUCGAGUUGAUUCGGAUAUCUGUCAAGUUCUAUUUGAAUUAUGCUUUAGGAUAUUAGGUCUGGGUUGGAUCUGCUGCCAGUUACGGGUGAAAAGGAAGAACGAUGGGUGGUUAUAUGGAAGCAUUGAUCGACAGUGGAUUGAAAGUAAAGAUAGCUUUCAACUUGUUUCUCUCCAAAAUGAGGCCCAUUUUCUGUGGGAACUUUGAGUACGAUGCUCACCAGUCAGAAUUGGAACGUCUUUUUGGCAGAUACUGGAAGGUUGACAGGGUAGAUAUGAAAUCAGGAUUUGCAUUUAUUUACAUGGAUGAUGAACGAGAUGCAGGGGAUGCAAUCCAGGCCCUUGACAGGACUGAGUUUGGCAGACACGGGCGAUGGCUUCGCAUUGAAUGGACAAAGCAAGAGCAUGUGGUGGUAGGACGAUCUGGCAGUUCAAGAAGGUCUCUUGCUAAUAUGACGCAUACAAAGACACUGUUUGUCAUAAACUUUGAGCCAAUCGAUACCAGGAUGAGACUUGGAGAAGCACUUUGAAGUUUGAACCAUAUGGAAAGGGCUUAAAUAUUAGGUUAGAAGAUAUUUUGUCUUUAAUUACUUUGAGGCACAGGAGGAUGCCACAAAAGCCCUGGAAGCAACCAACAUGAGAGUAUGCGCUUCGUGAUGAUGAUGACAGAAGAAAUGGGUACAGUCCUAAGAGGAGACGUAGGUAUCGAUCCCUAGCGAGGAGGGGUCGUGACAGUGGACGUACUCCAAGCCCAUACGGCAGAGGCAGGGAGAAGGAUAGCCCUGAUUCUGGGUGAACGCAGGGGUACCCCUAAUUAUGAAAGAGCUGAAACUCUUGGGCAUGAGAAUCCUUCACCAAGGCAGGAAAGAGAAUGAGAUUAUUUUACACUCGGUAAUUUGUGUCAUAGCGGCCAUGAUGGCUCAGGUAC